Molecule: ribosomal RNA, 256 nt
Filed under: uncultured bacterium
Lineage: Bacteria
Description: partial 16S ribosomal RNA
Rfam family: Bacterial small subunit ribosomal RNA
Source: RNAcentral
UACGUAGGGUGCAAGCGUUGUCCGGAAUUACUGGGCGUAAAGGAGCGCGCAGGCGGUCGAUCAAGUCGAGUGUGAAAGCCCCCGGCUCCAACUGGGGAGGGUCAUUCGGAAACUGGUCGACUCGAAGGCAGGAGAGGGUAGUGGAAUUCCCGGUGUAGUGGUGAAAUGCGUAGAUAUCGGGAGGAACACCAGUGGCGAAGGCGACUACCUGGCCUGUUCUUGACGCUGAGGCGCGAAAGCUAGGGGAGCAAACGGG